CGCGGCCUAUCAGCUUGUUGGUGGGGUAACGGCCUACCAAGGCUUCGACGGGUAGCUGGCGUGAGAGCGUGGCCAGCCACACUGGGACUGAGACACGGCCCAGACUCCUACGGGAGGCAGCAGUGGGGAAUCUUGCGCAAUGGGCGAAAGCCUGACGCAGCGACGCCGCGUGGGGGACGAAGGCCCUCGGGUUGUAAACCCCUUUCGGCAGGGACGAAGCGAAAGUGACGGUACCUGCAGAAGAAGGUCCGGCUAACUACGUGCCAGCAGCCGAGGUAAGACGUAGGGACCGAGCGUUGUCCGGAUUCAUUGGGCGUAAAGCGCGCGCAGGCGGCCAUGCAAGUCGGUUGUGAAAGCCCGGGGCUCAACCCCGGGACUGCGUCCGAUACUGCAUGGCUCGAGGCAGGUAGGGGAGAUCGGAAUUCCCGGUGUAGCGGUGAAAUGCGCAGAUAUCGGGAGGAACACCGGUGGCGAAGGCGGAUCUCUGGGCCUGUCCUGACGCUGAGGCGCGAAAGCUAGGGGAGCGAACAGGAUUAGAUACCCUGGUAGUCCUAGCCGUAAACGAUGGGCGCUAGGUGUGGGCGGUAUCGACCCCGUCCGUGCCGAAGCUAACGCAUUAAGCGCCCCGCCUGGGGGAGUACGG
Molecule: ribosomal RNA, 643 nt
Filed under: uncultured actinomycete
Lineage: Bacteria; Bacillati; Actinomycetota; Actinomycetes; Actinomycetales
Description: bacterial SSU rRNA
Rfam family: Bacterial small subunit ribosomal RNA
Source: RNAcentral